GACGAACGCUGGCGGCGUGCCUAAUACAUGCAAGUCGAGCGAAGUUUUUCUGGUGCUUGCACUAGAAAAACUUAGCGGCGAACGGGUGAGUAACACGUAAAGAACCUGCCUCAUAGACUGGGACAACUAUUGGAAACGACAGCUAAUACCGGAUAACAGUAUUUCUCGCAUGAGAGAUAUUUAAAAGUUGGUUAUGCUAACACUAUGAGAUGGCUUUGCGGUGCAUUAGCUAGUUGGUGGGGUAAAGGCCCACCAAGGCGACGAUGCAUAGCCGACCUGAGAGGGUGAUCGGCCACACUGGGACUGAGACACGGCCCAGACUCCUACGGGAGGCAGCAGUAGGGAAUCUUCCGCAAUGGGCGAAAGCCUGACGGAGCAACGCCGCGUGAGUGAAGAAGGAUUUCGGUUCGUAAAGCUCUGUUGUUAGGGAAGAAUGGAUAUGUAGUAACUAUACAUGUAAGAGACGGUACCUAACCAGAAAGCCACGGCUAACUACGUG
This 499-nucleotide ribosomal RNA is filed under the name uncultured bacterium. RNAcentral describes it as "partial 16S ribosomal RNA". It matches the Rfam family "Bacterial small subunit ribosomal RNA", at positions 28 to 507 of the family's 1533-position model. The record is from RNAcentral.